CCUACGGGGGGCAGCAGUGAGGAAUAUUGGUCAAUGGACGAGAGUCUGAACCAGCCAAGUAGCGUGAAGGAUGACUGCCCUAUGGGUUGUAAACUUCUUUUAUAAAGGAAUAAAACGAGGCACGUGUGCCUUUUUGCAUGUACUUUAUGAAUAAGGAUCGGCUAACUCCGUGCCAGCAGCCGCGGUAAUACGGAGGAUGCGAGCGUUAUCCGGAUUUAUUGGGUUUAAAGGGUGCGUAGGCGGGCUGUUAAGUCAGCGGUCAAAUGUCGGGGCUCAACCCCGGCCUGCCGUUGAAACUGGCGGCCUCGAGUGGACGAGAAGUAUGCGGAAUGCGUGGUGUAGCGGUGAAAUGCAUAGAUAUCACGCAGAACUCCGAUUGCGAAGGCAGCAUACCGGCGCCCGACUGACGCUGAGGCACGAAAGCGUGGGUAUCGAACAGGAUUAGAUACCCCGGUAGUC
Molecule: ribosomal RNA, 459 nt
Filed under: uncultured bacterium
Lineage: Bacteria
Description: partial 16S ribosomal RNA
Rfam family: Bacterial small subunit ribosomal RNA
Source: RNAcentral